AAGAAGCGCAAAGGUUGUGAAUGGACAAUGGUUUGGUGGACCAAGCAAGGCCCCUUUAUCUAAGUGCCCCUGGUGGUAACAAACAGUUCUCGGAGUUGUCAAUAUCCCUGGUUGCAGCUUCUUAGAACCAGUUAAGAAGUUUUCUUGGAACCAGUGAAGAAGUUCAAAGGCUCAGUAAAUCGACAAGGAUUAGGUGGUCUAAGCCUCCACUUAUUCUGACUGCCACAGAUGAUGAACAGUUAUUGAAUCUUACAAUAUAUGUACUUGUAGCUUCUUCUUUGAGACAGUGAAGAAGUUCGUCGACAACGAUUCGGUGGUCUAAGAAAGGCCUCACCUUGUAUCUGUGUGCUACAGAGAAUGACGAACGGUUCUGGGAGAUAACAAUCUCUGUUCUUGUUUGGGUGCAGGUAAAACUUUCUCUUGUCUUUUCUGGUCAGUUCCCUUUUACAGCUUACUUGUUAUUGUCUCAGACUCCAAUUUUUUGGAUCGAUUUAUUUUGCGUUUGGCAUUUAUCUAGAAUGGUUUGUCGGUUUAGGAAACCUGCUUCCUCGUACGCUUGCAUUGCUGCCUGCUAAGGGACCAGUAACUAGCGAAAGAUGGGAGUCGAGGAGGUUGUUUGCGCUCACUUCAGUCCAAGCCAUCGUCUGCUGUUGGCUGUGACGGAUCUCUCUCCCCCCUUCAAGGGGUCUGCAUGAAUAUAUUCAUAUAACUGUUUUUGCUGUUCGUGACCCACCAAUACUAGACAGCUGCGAUGGGGAAUCGUAGGAGUGUCUGUUUAUCCAAUCUCAAAAAUCUAUUUCCUCUUGUCCAUUCUGAUAAGUUUCGGAGGAUGUCUGCUUUGGGUGUUUAGUUCAUGGAUCCUAUACCUCAGAUGCGACUAGUCAGUUUCCCGGCAAAUGGGCUCUCUGCGGAUAUGAAGCUAUAUUCCAAUGUUUGUAAGAUGGUUUUUCUUGAUUUGAGUUGCUUUCAGCUAUGAGCCAUGUGAUUCGAUCCUUGGCCGUUUCGAUCAAUCUUGUUAAUGUACCAACAACCCUCAUUAACCCUGACCUUUGCAUUGGCCGACACUGAAACAUGUGGCAGCUAAGAUUCUAGUAGUCUUGUGGAGCCUUCAGAAACAGAGAAGUGCAUGUAUAGGCCCAUGAGAGUGUCACAGCUGAAAGGAUGCUUCUUCUGUCCUCGGAGGGUCUUCACAAAUAGGAACAGGCUCAACAAUUGCGAGAGUGUACGUGGGAACAUGUCGACGCCGAUGAAAAUAUGUGGAAAAUGGCACUUAUGGAAUGAGGAUACGAUUAAGUGCGAUGUUGAUGCAUCUGUUUUUGCCAAAUAAGGACAUGACGCUUGCAGGUAUUUCUGUGUGUGAUCAAGAGGCUGUUCUUUUUGGCUUUACGAAUGCUAACGAAACAUGGUGCGAGGUGAGAGUGCUGUUGGAGGCCAUAGCCCGGGUGACGAGCCUUAAGGAUUGGGGUGGUGAUCUUAUUAAUAUGUACUAGCCGUUGCUCUUGCUAUAUAUGUGGUUCAAAGUUUGUUUCGUUGAGAGGAAUAGGAAUACGAUUUCCCACUUGUUAGCUCGUUGCUUCUCCGAUCUUGGGCCGAAAAUGCGUUAGCUGAUAUGUGUUUGGUGUUGGAGCAUUUAGUGAGAAUGACGGUUGUGAUUCCAAAAAGGAGAAUGGAAUGGCAAAGAAACGUGAUGUCGUGCGCUGGGGAGGUCAGGAAAAUGCUCACGAGAUUUGGGCACACCAAAGUCACUCUUCAAUUGGCUUCUUGCUGCCUUAACAUGCCUCUCUUUACUUCCUUCCUUUUGGGUUUUUAACUUACAACUAUGUCUAUAGCCUGUUCCUUGGAGAAAAAACACAUAUGAAUUAAUAUACACAUAUCUUAUUUUAAUUAUAGUGUUCCGAGCCGAUGGCAGAACCAAAGUUCGACGAUCCUAUCCCCACUACUCAUGUAAGAUCCCCACAAGUGAUGUUUGUCAUCGGGUUGUUAUUGAAUUCGACACAAUAUACUUUCAAAUUCACUCUAAACUUCAAAUUUCUGCACGGG
Molecule: long non-coding RNA, 2040 nt
Filed under: Linum usitatissimum (flax)
Lineage: Eukaryota; Viridiplantae; Streptophyta; Magnoliopsida; Malpighiales; Linaceae
Description: long non-coding RNA (LUSI_LNC002326)
Source: RNAcentral